This 392-nucleotide small RNA is filed under the name Pan troglodytes (chimpanzee). RNAcentral describes it as "processed transcript". Lineage: Eukaryota; Metazoa; Chordata; Mammalia; Primates; Hominidae. The record is from RNAcentral.
CUAGUCAAAGAGGAUUUCGACAGAAACUGCUUUAUCCAAAUUCAGGAAGGGAGGGUACUGCUGCUCAGAAUUUCUCCUGUUUCAUCUACAAUGCGGAUUUAAUGAACUGCACCUGGGCGAGGGGUCCGGCGGCCCCCCGUGACGUCCAGUAUUUUUUGUACAUACAAAACUCAAAGUAAGUGUUCACCUCAUGUGAAGAAUUAUGAGGAAUGCAGGGAUGGGAGAAAAAAUCAUGCUGGUUUUCUUUUUUUCCUUUUUCUUUUUUUAAGACAUGGUCUUGCUCUGUUGCCCAGGCUGGAAUGCAAUGGUGCCACCUCGGCUCACUGCAACCUCGACCUCCUGGGUUCAAGCAAUUUUCCUGCCUCAGCUUCCCAGGUAGCUGGGAUUCCAGG